AUGCUAAGUGCUGAAAAGCCUGUGCCAGGAUCUUCUAGUCCUGCACAUUCAGAGUACAGACUCAGCAAUUCUUCAAUCAACAGGAUGUUUUCAGAGAUCGUUUGCUUCACAGCUCCCUUUAGAAGCAGUGAAAAGAGACCUUGGGAUAGGCUGCAGUACCCUCUGGAGAUACUUAUGUAUCCCAAAGGUGGCUGUGCUCAAAAUUUAGAGUCUCAGUUAGAUGGGUAAGUCCAGAUUUAGCAUCCCUUCACAGUGCUCCAAUACCAAAUCUCUCUCUUUUGGGCUAUAAAGUUUCAUCAGGGCUAUUUCUUCUCACUUUUCCAAAUCUCAUAUUGAUCCUUCCUAUGCUUUGAAGUGCUACUAACCUUCUGAGACUGCAUCUUCAUUUGCCAUGAGAAUAUAUAAAACACUCCACCGAGGUAGAUAGGCAAGGCUGAGGAAGGCAACCUUUGUUAUGAGCUUCCAGGUUCUUGUAAUAUUUACUGUCCCCAAGGAGAAAAUACAUAUUCUGAGAAUAUGGAUGUCUAGUAAAAGCAAUCCCUUCCCUUCUCUUUCCCUCUCCCUUCCCCUUCCCCUCCCCUUUCCCUUUCUCUUUCCCUUAUAGCCAGAUAGUUGAGUGUUUGGGUUGGAAAUUCCUGUUAAUUCUCUAGUUAACAUAUCUGCAUCUUCCAAGCCAGCUGGAUCUCAGGUAUGAAAAUAGCCAGUUUUACCCAUAUUAAGAGAACUAGUUUUCUGAUCCUUAAUCAUACUAAAAUAUGUCAGCGAAGGUCACCAAAUAAUCCUACCUACUCUGGGCAGUCAAUAACCAUUCUUCCAUGUGGGUGACAUCCAUGCAGUGUCCUUUCCCAGGCCUUCUUCAGAUCUUCAAGAUAUCUCUUGUAUAAAAAGCUGAGGAACAACUAUGCUGCCAGGAGGGCUUGUUUCACAUUCGUUUCCACUUUUUUCCUAACUCUGCGAUUCAUUAGGGCUUGGAGAUGCUAGCAUGCUUUCUUCUAAACACAAGGAGAGAACAAUUUUCCAAAGACUGAAGAAGAACAGCCAAGUGCUGAAGAAAUAGCCUGUAUGUUGUCUCACUGCAGUAUGGUGCUAUUCUCUACAGUUGGUGAAUCAUUGCCAAUAAACUAGUUUGUUUUUGACUUCUUCA
This 1144-nucleotide long non-coding RNA is filed under the name Phasianus colchicus (ring-necked pheasant). Its description in RNAcentral is "lncRNA (ENSPCLG00000004381.1)". Lineage: Eukaryota; Metazoa; Chordata; Aves; Galliformes; Phasianidae. The record is from RNAcentral.